GAGGGCACAGCUCAGUGGUAGAGCGCAUGCUUGGCAUACAGGAGGUUCUGGGUUCAAUCCCCAGUGCUUCCC
RNAcentral lists this transfer RNA (72 nucleotides) under Camelus bactrianus (Bactrian camel). It matches the Rfam family "tRNA". From Rfam's summary of the family: Transfer RNA (tRNA) molecules are approximately 80 nucleotides in length. Their secondary structure includes four short double-helical elements and three loops (D, anti-codon, and T loops). Lineage: Eukaryota; Metazoa; Chordata; Mammalia; Artiodactyla; Camelidae. RNAcentral also lists the same sequence under 2 other names. The record is from Rfam by way of RNAcentral.